UCGAGCGAGCUGAAUUCAAAGAUUCCUUCGGGAUGAUUUGUUGGACGCUAGCGGCGGAUGGGUGAGUAACACGUGGGCAAUCUGCCCUAAAGACUGGGAUACCACUUGGAAACAGGUGCUAAUACCGGAUAACAACAUGAAUCGCAUGAUUCAAGUUUGAAAGGCGGCGUAAGCUGUCACUUUAGGAUGAGCCCGCGGCGCAUUAGCUAGUUGGUGGGGUAAAGGCCUACCAAGGCAAUGAUGCGUAGCCAAGUUGAGAGACUGAUCGGCCACAUUGGGACUGAGACACGGCCCAAACUCCUACGGGAGGCAGCAGUAGGGAAUCUUCCACAAUGGACGCAAGUCUGAUGGAGCAACGCCGCGUGAGUGAAGAAGGUUUUCGGAUCGUAAAGCUCUGUUGUUGGUGAAGAAGGAUAGAGGCAGUAACUGGUCUUUAUUUGACGGUAAUCAACCAGAAAGUCACGGCUAACUACGUGCCAGCAGCCGCGGUAAUACGUAGGUGGCAAGCGUUGUCCGGAUUUAUUGGGCGUAAAGCGAGCGCAGGCGGAAUGAUAAGUCUGAUGUGAAAGCCCACGGCUCAACCGUGGAACUGCAUCGGAAACUGUCAUUCUUGAGUGCAGAAGAGGAGAGUGGAAUUCCAUGUGUAGCGGUGGAAUGCGUAGAUAUAUGGAAGAACACCAGUGGCGAAGGCGGCUCUCUGGUCUGCAACUGACGCUGAGGCUCGAAAGCAUGGGUAGCGAACAGGAUUAGAUACCCUGGUAGUCCAUGCCGUAAACGAUGAGCGCUAGGUGUUGGGGACUUUCCGGUCCUCAGUGCCGCAGCAAACGCAUUAAGCGCUCCGCCUGGGGAGUACGACCGCAAGGUUGAAACUCAAAGGAAUUGACGGGGGCCCGCACAAGCGGUGGAACCAUGUGGUUUAAUUCGAAGCAACGCGAAGAACCUUACCAGGUCUUGACAUCCUGUGCUACCCUAGAAAAAUAGGUGGUUCCCUUCGGGGACGCAAAGACAGGUGUGGCAUGGCUGUCGUCAGCUCGUGUCGUGAAAAAGUUUGGGGUUAAGUCCCGCAACGAGCGCAACCCUUGUCUUUAGUUGCCACCAUUAAGUUGGGCACUCUAAAGAAACUGGCGGUGACAACCGGAGGAAAGGGGGGGGGGGUGGAAGUCCUCGCUAAUCAUGGCCCCCUAAUAGACGGGGGCGACAACCUGGUAUCAAUGGGGGGGUCAAACAGGAAGGGAACCACCCCGGGGGGAGUCGGAUCUUC
RNAcentral lists this ribosomal RNA (1261 nucleotides) under Lactobacillus delbrueckii subsp. bulgaricus. Its description in RNAcentral is "bacterial SSU rRNA". It matches the Rfam family "Bacterial small subunit ribosomal RNA", at positions 62 to 1276 of the family's 1533-position model. Lineage: Bacteria; Bacillati; Bacillota; Bacilli; Lactobacillales; Lactobacillaceae. The record is from RNAcentral.